This 485-nucleotide long non-coding RNA is filed under the name Setaria viridis. RNAcentral's name for it is "long non-coding RNA (SVIR_LNC006260)". The record is from RNAcentral. Lineage: Eukaryota; Viridiplantae; Streptophyta; Magnoliopsida; Poales; Poaceae.
GGAAGGUUGAGGGGGCAGGGGGUUACAUCACGGCAAGAUUAUAACACUGAUUUACAACACUAAAUUAAGCCAUUUCAUGAAAAGAACUUGACGAUCCUCUCUAAACCGAAUAGCUUGGAGAGUAGCUUGUUCUCAGAACUUCAUAGCCCCAACAUUAAAGCUUGGACUCACAACAUCAAAGAUAACAGCAUUGCGCAAUUUUCAGAUUUAGCACGCGGCAAGGACGAAGAUUUCCAUGAAGAAUUGCAGUCCGGCAGCCUCAUUAGCUUUCACAGCAUGGUUAUGCAGAUAUCUAUAAAAAAUUAAUAAAACAGAGAAAAGCUUUUCAAGUGACACAUGCUUUCUUUUAGCAGGCAACAGGCAUGUAAGAAACUGUCGAUGGAGAUUGUCUCUUUCUUCUUAAAUAUCAAUUCACAAUUGUAUUUCUCUUAAUUGUAGUACAUAUAGAAUAACAGAUCGAGUCAAUCUAUCUUAUCUGUUUGCAU